This 429-nucleotide ribosomal RNA is filed under the name Bacteroidota bacterium. RNAcentral describes it as "Bacteroidetes bacterium partial 16S ribosomal RNA". It matches the Rfam family "Bacterial small subunit ribosomal RNA", at positions 355 to 776 of the family's 1533-position model. The record is from RNAcentral. Lineage: Bacteria; Pseudomonadati; Bacteroidota.
UAGGGAAUCUUCGGCAAUGGGGGGAACCCUGACCGAGCAACGCCGCGUGAGUGAAGAAGGUUUUCGGAUCGUAAAGCUCUGUUGUUAAGGAAGAACGAGUGUGAGAAUGGAAAGUUCAUGCUGUGACGGUACUUAACCAGAAAGGGACGGCUAACUACGUGCCAGCAGCCGCGGUAAUACGUAGGGCGCAAGCGUUAUCCGGAAUUAUUGGGCGUAAAGCGAGCGCAGGCGGUUAGAUAAGUCUGAAGUUAAAGGCAGUGGCUCAACCAUUGUAGGCUUUGGAAACUGUUUAACUUGAGUGCAGAAGGGGAGAGUGGAAUUCCAUGUGUAGCGGUGAAAUGCGUAGAUAUAUGGAGGAACACCGGUGGCGAAAGCGGCUCUCUGGUCUGUAACUGACGCUGAGGCUCGAAAGCGUGGGGAGCGAACAGG